AUGGAAAGAAUGGCUCACUCUUACUUUAAGGAGAUUUUCACCAAAGAUCCAACCCUCUCUCUGGACGCGGUGUUGGACUGUAUUGCCCCAAAAGUAACAAAGGAGAUGAAUGCUUCUUUAUGCAGGCCCUACUCAGACGAGGAGAUAUCUAAUGCCUUAUUUUUGAUUGGGCCACUAAAAGCAUCGGGAUGUGAUGGACUACCUGCUAGGUUCUUUCAACGGAAUUGGGCACUGCUGAAAACUGAGAUUGUAGCGGCGGUCCACGAGUUCUUUGCUUCUGGUGUUAUGCCUGAUGGAGUUAAUAACACGGCCAUUGUGCUAAUUCCUAAGGUCCCUCAUCCGAACGAUCUGAAGGAUUUUAGGCCGAUAAGCUUGUGCAAUGUUAUAUACAAGAUAAUCUCUAAGUGUAUGGUAAACAGACUACGACCCAUCCUGUCUGAUCUCAUAUCUGAAAAUCAGAGCGCCUUCAUCCCGGGGAGGCUGAUUUCGGACAACUCUAUUAUUGCGUUUGAAUGUAUUCACCAUAUUCGGUCGGUAAGAAACAAUGCAACCGGUCUCUGUGCUUACAAGCUAGAUCUUUCUAAGGCCUAUGACAGGGUGGACUGGGUUUUUUUUUUGGAAAAAGCAUUGGCUAAAUGGGGCUUCUCGCCCAUCUGGAUUGCUCGUGUUAUGGCUUGUGUCUCGUCGGUGAAGUACUCGAUAAAAUUUAAUGGGAAGCUACUGGAGUCUUUCUCCCCCUCGAGGGAACUCCGUCAAGGUGAUCCACUGUCUCCAUUCUUCUUCUUAUUUGUAGUUGAUGCUCUUUCUGUGUUGAUUGAAAAGGCUGCAAGGGAAGAUGGUCUCAGUGGGGUCAGAAUAUGUAGAGGUGCUUCGGAGAUUAUACACCUUUUGUUUGCGGAUGAUUCACUUCUAUUUUUUCAAGAAAAUAAUCAGCAGGCAUUAUUAGUGAAAGGGGUGUUGAACACCUUUGCGACCGCGACAGGACAACUUAUUAACCCGUCGAAGUGUUGCAUUCUAUUCUCAAAUCAAUGUCAACCUGAUGUGGUUCAAGAGGUUAAAGACACGCUGAAUAUCACCCAGGAGGCGUUUGAGCCUAAGUAUUUGGGCUUGCCGGUUCCAGAGGGGAGGAUGCACAAAGGGCACUUUGAGACUAUCCAAGAGCGUUUGAGGAAAAUUCUUAUGGAUUGGAGUGAGCAGUACAUGUCAUCAGGGAAUAAGGAGAUACUAAUCAAAUCAGUGGCACAGGCCAUAGCAGCAUAUGUUAUGAGUGUUUUCAAACUCCCGGAUUCGGUCUGUGAUGAUCUAACAAGGAUGAUACGUCAAUAUUGGUGGGGGUGGAGAACGGGAAGAAGAAGAUGGUCUGGAUGA
This 1368-nucleotide ribosomal RNA is filed under the name Triticum aestivum (bread wheat). Its description in RNAcentral is "partial small subunit ribosomal RNA". The record is from RNAcentral. Lineage: Eukaryota; Viridiplantae; Streptophyta; Magnoliopsida; Poales; Poaceae.